RNAcentral lists this non-coding RNA (439 nucleotides) under Trichobilharzia regenti. RNAcentral describes it as "Eukaryotic large subunit ribosomal RNA". It matches the Rfam family "Eukaryotic large subunit ribosomal RNA", at positions 976 to 1383 of the family's 3401-position model. Lineage: Eukaryota; Metazoa; Platyhelminthes; Trematoda; Strigeidida; Schistosomatidae. The record is from Rfam by way of RNAcentral.
GAACUGCUGCACAUAGUACAAAGUCCUAGGUUGAAACCAGCGAGUCAGCCAGGGAGAAAACAACUUUAACCUAUUCUCAAACCUUAAAUGAGUGAGAAGCUUAACGCGCCUAAAUGGAGUUUUGAAAUGAAUGUGAGUGCCAAAGUGGGACAUUUUUGAUAAGCAGAACUGGCGCUGUGAGAUAAACCAAACGUGUGGUUAAGGUGCCUAACGCGACACUCAUGAGAUACCACAAAAGUUGUUGAUUGGUCUAGACAGCAGGAUAGUGACCAUGGAAAUUUGAAACAGCUGAGCAUGUAACAACUCGUCUGCCGAAUCAAUCACCCCUCAAAACAGAUGGAGUUGCACGGAGAUGAGUGCAUGUUGGAUCUUCCAUUCAGUGUAAGCACAGCGCAAUAACGCAACAGAAGUCGGAAGCGUCGCUGCAAAUAGAAGGGUA